Molecule: long non-coding RNA, 1238 nt
Filed under: Zonotrichia albicollis (white-throated sparrow)
Lineage: Eukaryota; Metazoa; Chordata; Aves; Passeriformes; Passerellidae
Description: lncRNA (ENSZALG00000014901.1)
Source: RNAcentral
GCCUCUCACAUACCCAAUCUCAGAUCCCCAGCACCCACCUGGGGACCCCAUGCACAUCCCCCAGAUGCCAACACACCCUCCCACAGAUCUCCUGCACCCACCCACAGAUCCCCCAUACCCCCUGAUGAACCCAAAACAAGCAGGGAUGCUCCUCACCCCCUUCCCACACCCCUCACACCUACCCAGAGACCCUUCCCAUGCCCCCCAUGGCCCAAAAACAUGCCUAUGGAUGCCACAAAACCCCACCACAAUGUCCCCCCAGGCCCCCCAGUACCCUCCUGGCAGGUUUUUCCCCCAAAGCCCAGUGGGCAGCGGCAGCUGAACCCCCCCCAUUCAUGCACGCAGGUGCCACCGUUGUGGCAUGUGUUGGUGUCACACAGGGUCUUCUUGGGAGGACAACCUGGCAGGGUGCCGUUGUUGGCAAUGAAGGCUGCCAUGUCCACGGGGCGCUGGUCAAUGUGGAGGUGCCGCAUGCACCCCACAAAGUGCCGGCUGCGGAUUGGGAAACUCUCGGGCAGUGUUGGGACCCCCCCCAGCAGCAGUGGCCCCGUCAGGUCCAGCGACCUGUAGAGCACACCAUCACCUCAGGGACUCAAGAAACCAUCGAGGGACCCCACAACCCACGGGGACCCUGUUGGAACAUCAAGGGACACCCAGCCACCCCUCAUCCCAUGGGAGUCACAAGGGGACCCCAAAGAACACUCACUCACCCCAAAACCUAUGGGAACCUGAGGGACCACCCAAAGACUCCCAAGGGAAUCCCCACUUCCCCCCAGUGCCAUGGGGACCCCAAGACAAUCCCCAAACCCAUGGGGACCUCCAGUGACUCCCCCAUCCAUAGGGAUCUGUAACCCCCAAGGGGCCUUUCACCAGUGAAGACUUCAAAGGUACCACACCCUUAGGGACCGUUCACCUACAAGGGACCCCUCUAUGGGUACCCCAAGGGACCCCACCCAUGGGAUCCCCAUGCCCCUCUCACUUCUUGCUGCCAGUCUGGGUGCCCUGGGCAGCACAGGAGUAGUUGCCGAGGCGGGGCCCGAAGCGCAGGGCCAUGGCUGUGUCGCAGUCGUCCACAGUCACAACAGCCACCUUCUGCUCUGAGGGGCCCUGUGGGACCCCCGAGCGCCCCACAACCGGCUGGGGGGCCCCAUAUUAGGCAGGGGGGCCCAGGACCCCCAUCCUGCAGCCUCUGUCCUGCUCCUCAUCCUCCCACUGCCCUCUGACCCCUCAACCCUUAC